AUUGAACGCUGGCGGAAUGCUUUACACAUGCAAGUCGAGCGGCAGCGCGGGGCAACCUGGCGGCGAGCGGCGAACGGGUGAGUAAUACAUCGGAACGUACCCAGUUGUGGGGGAUAGCCCGGCGAAAGCCGGAUUAAUACCGCAUACGACCUGAGGGUGAAAGUGGGGGAUCGCAAGACCUCACGCAGUUGGAGCGGCCGAUGGCGGAUUAGCUAGUUGGUAGGGUAAAGGCCUACCAAGGCGACGAUCCGUAGCGGGUCUGAGAGGACGACCCGCCACACUGGAACUGAGACACGGUCCAGACGCCGACGGGGGGCAGCAGUGGGGAAUUUUGGACAAUGGGGGCAACCCUGAUCCAGCCAUUCCGCGUGAGUGAAGAAGGCCUUCGGGUUGUAAAGCUCUUUCGGCAGGAACGAAACGGUCUGUGCUAAUACCACGGGCUAAUGACGGUACCUGAAGAAGAAGCACCGGCUAACUACGUGCCAGCCGCCGCCGUAA
RNAcentral lists this ribosomal RNA (498 nucleotides) under uncultured bacterium. RNAcentral's name for it is "partial 16S ribosomal RNA". It matches the Rfam family "Bacterial small subunit ribosomal RNA", at positions 29 to 523 of the family's 1533-position model. The record is from RNAcentral.